This is a small nuclear RNA of Octopus sinensis (East Asian common octopus), 104 nucleotides long. Lineage: Eukaryota; Metazoa; Mollusca; Cephalopoda; Octopoda; Octopodidae. The record is from RefSeq and is a predicted model, not a curated record.
CUAGCUACGGCAGUACAUAUUCUAAAAUUGAAACGAUAUAGAGAAGAUUAGCAUGGCCCCUACACAAGGUUGACAUGCAAAUUCGUGAAACAUUCCAUAUUUUC